UCUAUUUUGAAUAGCAAUAGUUAAAUAAGAUCAAUCAAACAAGAAAAAGAACCGAUCGUCUCUAGCUUAAGUGGCAAAGGGCUUGGUGGUUGGUAUCCAAUGUCCCAAGUUCGAAUCGUAGUUGAUUCACAUUUCUAGCUAAGUUUAUUUCUAAAUUAAAUAAAUGAAGCGGAUAGCAUUCUAUUUAUCUUUCAAAAAAAAAAAAAUCAAAUAAGAAGGAAUUGAAGAACAGGGUUGAAAUCUCCACUUGCAUGUAUAGUGAAAAAUACGUGAAUUAUGCGAGGUUUAAGAUUAACUCUAAUAUCAUAUUAUCAAAAGUUCGGUCUGAUUUAAAAUAGCCCAGUAAG
RNAcentral lists this long non-coding RNA (347 nucleotides) under Ananas comosus (pineapple). Its description in RNAcentral is "long non-coding RNA (ACOM_LNC032213)". The record is from RNAcentral. Lineage: Eukaryota; Viridiplantae; Streptophyta; Magnoliopsida; Poales; Bromeliaceae.